UGAUGAUCACGCUCUAUUCAUCCUAUCCGCGUUCCAUCCAUCCAUUUUUCCAUUAAUCUCCAAUAACUUAUUGGAAUUUAGCGCAAUUUAAUUUUCUUUCUCUCUCUUUUUUUUGUUUUCAGAAGAGUGAAAUAAAUGAAUAAACGAAGGAAAGGAAAGGAAGGGAAAAAAAGAAAGAAAGAAGAAAAGAAAAGGGAAGGAGAAGAACAAUGGCCACGGCGUCAUUUGGGAGGGAUCGAAUGAGUGGCGAGUUAUUUCAUCGAUUCCCCAGGAUUCUCUAGCAAUAGUCCCCGUUUACGAGCGUGAAAUGGUAGCCGAUGGCGAAGAAUAAAAGCUACGCGCCUGGAUAAUGACAGGAUUUGGCUAGGCGAUAACUGGAAGAAGGAAAGAAUUAUAGGCUGCGAGAGUAGGCUCGUAAGCAUCAGGCCUUCAGGAGGUUUUAACGGCGAUUCAACGCCGUUCUCCUGGCCACCUUCUUCUCUUCCUUACUUUGUGAUUUUUGAACGCGCCACGAACGAGGAAACGAUGGAGGAACGGAUAUCUUUGGUGGCACGAUAUUGGAAUACGACGAGGGAAAUCGAGUAGUCUGUUAAGAUGUUGGAUUAAAAUACAAAUGAAUUUUUUAAAAUCUGGUCGUUCAAAUUUCAUUUCAUUCGAUAUUUUAAAAGUUCACCAGUUGAGUAUAUAGGUUAGAUUGGAUUCGAUUCUAACCAAAUUGGCCUGCACAUAAAGAGAAAAGUGACAAGAGAUAAGCAGGAAGUUGUUCAAAUCGCUAUCACUACGAGUAUCCCCUAUAAUCCUCUCGAUAUUACACUCCUACGUGCUUAUCGGAAAUCAGUUAAAAAAAAAAAAGAAAUAUUCACGGUGGAGUCACGGUUCGUAGAGAAAUGGUCCAAAUACCUAGUUUAUAUCCUGGUGACCUGGUUGACCAUUUACGCACGACUGCAUACGAAGAAUAUUAAUUACGCGUCAACGACUCACCAAGUAUUCCGCAUUGACGUGGCGGAAGUAGGUCCGCCACGCGUUAAAUGCCACGAAGCAUCUUCACAACGGCGACACGAAUAAUUUGGCGUGAUAAUUGUCUGGCUAAACAGCCGCGAAUGCGGCUAAGAACGUGGGGCAAAAAACUGUCUGCGGAAUACCGAAUGUACCGUUUAUGAGAACGUGAGAUGUGUGUAUAUACGUAUAUAUACAUUUGAAAGAGAAUUGGUGGUAUUUGAGGAAACAUUAAUUGCACGAGCUCAGCAAAAAUUCAACGUUGGAAAAUGAAAUUGCGAGAAAAUUUCUUCUCUAAUCCCUCGACAUCCCUGAGGGAAAAAGUCUUCCUGUAAUACCGACCGAGACUAUAAACGUGAACGUAGCCGCGAUUCACUUAAGCACCGACAAUUGGCCAAAUUAAAUUCCAGGGAUCGAAACGUGGACGCGCCAAUUGAUCGAUUAACUUGGAUUUGAAUACGAAGUGGUGUUUCUUUCCUAUUUUCUUGUCUUCAAAAUAAAAACCAACAUAUGUAAGUAGCUCAAAAGUGUUAUCGUCGAAAUCACUAUUCAUAUUUUAUGCCAUCACAGGAUCAAGUAAAUUAUUACGAUAUCCAUUUUUAUGUUUUAUUUACGAGAGUAAUUUAAAGUGACACGACCCGAAAGAAACGUAAUCGUGAACGUUCUUGGAGAGAAGGAAGUUUAACAAAUAAUUCAAGGUAAUAUACCAUUAUCUGAAGAAUGUGUAAAACAAACUCUAACAAUAAUUCAUAUUACUGUAUCAUUAAAGUAUUCAUCAAUCGUUUAUUUCAGAUGCACCUUUAAAAAUCCAAUUUGAAAAAGAACAAACUCUAUCGGUCAAAUUACCAUAAUGGACGCCAUUAAAAUGUUCAUCGCGCGUUUAUCCGAACGUGCAAGUUUUCCAAUUUGAAAAGCAACAGACAUCCUGCCAUAAAUUUGAACAACAAUGGGCCGCAUUGUUGUCGAUAAAUUCAUUGCGCAACGCGUUCGUUUAUCUCGUUGCCAUCCACUAACUUGAAUAAGCUAAUUUUCCAACUCGAAAAAUAUUUCGCCAUCAAUUCGAAUUCACAACAAACUUUAACAAUAGCAACGCGUUAUUGUUCUAUACAAGUAUUGGUCGCGCGAUCUUCAAGCUCGUCUCGUUAACCCGAAUAAUCCUUCUCCAUAUUUGCCUCGUCACGAAAGUGGUCGAGCCGAUAAUGAGUUCAUCGACGAUUACGCCAGCGACGUGGCUCGCGUGCAAAUACGCUUAUGUCACCGAUGCUGCAGCCUGCUCGAGCCAUCUUUAUUCGGUCAUCGAUCCUUCGACUCUCUCACCUUGUCCUCUUAUCUUUCCACGCGAUCCACGUUACUCGUAUAAUAGUACUUACUUAUAUUACGCAGUGACGGGUUGCGAUGCUUCUCAAGCAAUAUAAAUUCUUGGCUGAGCUGGAAGAAUCAUGGUUUCGAGUCUUGGUAAAUUUCACUUGAUAUCGGUGAACUUAAUAAGUGUGAUCUUAAGAGCCUUUGAUACAUCAUCAAAUAAAUAAUUAAACUCAAAAUCGUAGCGAAAACGAUAAGAAAGAACGGUGUCGUACCCAUCGCUACUCCGUCUAUAAAUUAUUACCUACGAUAGCUUACGAUAGAGAGAAAAGAAAAAGACCAUUAUUGUAACCAGCCAUUUUCUCAGAAUUACUUGCUAGACUCAUUACGAUCCCAUUAACGUUAUCUUGGAACUUGAUAUAACUCGAUAUUAAGGCGUGUAUUAAUAUCAAUUUCGACUAUCCACUCUUUUCCUACAUCAUGAAUCUAAUUAAAUGCCUCGGCAUAAAAUUGUUUGUUG
Molecule: long non-coding RNA, 2818 nt
Filed under: Apis florea (little honeybee)
Lineage: Eukaryota; Metazoa; Arthropoda; Insecta; Hymenoptera; Apidae
Description: uncharacterized LOC116415325
Source: RNAcentral